This 1771-nucleotide ribosomal RNA is filed under the name Methanocaldococcus bathoardescens. RNAcentral's name for it is "bacterial SSU rRNA". The stretch from base 1 to 1474 matches the Rfam family "Archaeal small subunit ribosomal RNA". The record is from RNAcentral. Lineage: Archaea; Methanobacteriati; Methanobacteriota; Methanococci; Methanococcales; Methanocaldococcaceae.
GGUUGAUCCUGCCGGAGGCCACUGCUAUCGGGGUCCGACUAAGCCAUGCGAGUCAAGGGGCUCCCUUCGGGGAGCACCGGCGCACGGCUCAGUAACACGUGGCUAACCUACCCUCGGGUGGGGGAUAACCUCGGGAAACUGAGGCUAAUCCCCCAUAGGGGAGGAGGUCUGGAAUGAUCCCUCCCCGAAAGGCGUAAGCCGCCCGAGGAUGGGGCUGCGGCGGAUUAGGUAGUUGGUGGGGUAACGGCCCACCAAGCCUACGAUCCGUACGGGCCCUGAGAGGGGGAGCCCGGAGAUGGACACUGAGACACGGGUCCAGGCCCUACGGGGCGCAGCAGGCGCGAAACCUCCGCAAUGCGCGAAAGCGCGACGGGGGGACCCCGAGUGCCCACGCUCUGCGUGGGCUUUUCCGGAGUGUAAACAGCUCCGGGAAUAAGGGCUGGGCAAGUCCGGUGCCAGCAGCCGCGGUAAUACCGGCGGCCCGAGUGGUGGCCACUGUUAUUGGGCCUAAAGCGUCCGUAGCCGGCCCGGUAAGUCUCUGCUUAAAUCCUGCGGCUCAACCGCAGGGCUGGCAGAGAUACUGCCGGGCUUGGGACCGGGAGAGGCCGGGGGUACCCCAGGGGUAGCGGUGAAAUGCGUUGAUCCCUGGGGGACCACCUGUGGCGAAGGCGCCCGGCUGGAACGGGUCCGACGGUGAGGGACGAAGGCCGGGGGAGCAAACCGGAUUAGAUACCCGGGUAGUCCCGGCUGUAAACUCUGCGGACUAGGUGUCGCGUCGGCUUCGGGCCGACGCGGUGCCGAAGGGAAGCCGUUAAGUCCGCCGCCUGGGGAGUACGGUCGCAAGACUGAAACUUAAAGGAAUUGGCGGGGGAGCACUACAACGGGUGGAGCCUGCGGUUUAAUUGGAUUCAACGCCGGGCAUCUUACCAGGGGCGACGGCAGGAUGAAGGCCAGGUUGACGACCUUGCCAGACGCGCCGAGAGGUGGUGCAUGGCCGUCGUCAGCUCGUACCGUGAGGCGUCCUGUUAAGUCAGGUAACGAGCGAGACCCGUGCCCCAUGUUGCUACCCUCCCCUCCGGGGGAGGGGCACUCAUGGGGGACCGCCGGCGCUAAGCCGGAGGAAGGUGCGGGCAACGACAGGUCCGCAUGCCCCGAAUCCCCUGGGCUACACGCGGGCUACAAUGGCCGGGACAAUGGGACGCGACCCCGAAAGGGGGAGCGAAUCCCCUAAACCCGGUCGUAGUCCGGAUCGAGGGCUGUAACUCGCCCUCGUGAAGCCGGAAUCCGUAGUAAUCGCGCCUCACCAUGGCGCGGUGAAUGCGUCCCUGCUCCUUGCACACACCGCCCGUCACGCCACCCGAGUUGAGCCCAAGUGAGGCCCUGUCCGUAAGGGCAGGGUCGAACUUGGGUUCAGCGAGGGGGGCGAAGUCGUAACAAGGUAGCCGUAGGGGAACCUGCGGCUGGAUCACCUCCUGAGAAAAAAGCGCUGGUUGCUGUGGGGCACCAAACCAGUCGUGGGCUUGCCUCAUAGGGAAAGUGGGCCCGUAGCUCAGCUGGGAGAGCGCCGGCCUUGCAAGCCGGAGGCCGUGGGUUCAAAUCCCACCGGGUCCACUAUAUAUGCAACCUGCAACUCUAAAGAGUUGCAGGUGAAGGGCCUGAAAAACAUGAGGGCCAUGCAUAGGCUUCCACAUCCCGGUGAAAUCUGGAUACUCUGCCGGGCCACCAGCCCACCUGGUGGAUGGCUCGGCUCGGGGCGCCGAGGAAGGGCGUG